CGUUGAAACACCGAUUCCCGCACGAUCACUGAAGUUAAGCAACGUCGAUCUUGGUCAGUACCUACAUGGGUGACCGCUUCGGAAUAUAAGUUGCUGUAAU
Acanthosepion pharaonis is the source of this 100-nucleotide non-coding RNA. The record is from the annotation of a GenBank genome assembly. Lineage: Eukaryota; Metazoa; Mollusca; Cephalopoda; Sepiida; Sepiidae.